UACGAGGGGGCUAGCGUUGUUCGGAAUCACUGGGCGUAAAGCGCACGCAGGCGGAUCGAUAAGUCGGGGGUGAAAGCCCGGGGCUCAACCUCGGAAUUGCCUUCGAUACUGUCGGUCUUGAGUCCGGGAGAGGUGAGUGGAAUUCCUAGUGUAGAGGUGAAAAUCGUAGAUAUUAGGAAGAACACCAGUGGCGAAGGCGGCUCACUGGCCCGGUACUGACGCUCAGGUGCGAAAGCGUGGGGAGCAAACAGG
Molecule: ribosomal RNA, 252 nt
Filed under: uncultured bacterium
Lineage: Bacteria
Description: partial 16S ribosomal RNA
Rfam family: Bacterial small subunit ribosomal RNA
Source: RNAcentral